RNAcentral lists this transfer RNA (74 nucleotides) under Thermoplasmata archaeon HGW-Thermoplasmata-1. RNAcentral describes it as "tRNA-Arg". It matches the Rfam family "tRNA". From Rfam's summary of the family: Transfer RNA (tRNA) molecules are approximately 80 nucleotides in length. Their secondary structure includes four short double-helical elements and three loops (D, anti-codon, and T loops). Further hydrogen bonds mediate the characteristic L-shaped molecular structure. tRNAs have two regions of fundamental functional importance: the anti-codon, which is responsible for specific mRNA codon recognition, and the 3' end, to which the tRNAs corresponding amino acid is attached (by aminoacyl-tRNA synthetases). tRNAs cope with the degeneracy of the genetic code in two manners: having more than one tRNA (with a specific anti-codon) for a particular amino acid; and 'wobble' base-pairing, i.e. permitting non-standard base-pairing at the 3rd anti-codon position. The record is from RNAcentral. Lineage: Archaea; Methanobacteriati; Thermoplasmatota; Thermoplasmata.
GGGCUCGUGGUGUAGCUUGGAUAUCACCGAGGCCUCCGGAGCCUCAGACCGGGGUUCGAAUCCCCGCGAGCCCG